GUAGGUGGCAAGCGUUGUCCGGAAUUAUUGGGCGUAGAGCGCGCGCAGGCGGUCCUUUAAGUCUGAUGUGAAAGCCCACGGCUCAACCGUGGAGGGUCAUUGGAAACUGGGGGACUUGAGUACAGAAGAGGAAAGCGGAAUUCCAAGUGUAGCGGUGAAAUGCGUAGAGAUUUGGAGGAACACCAGUGGCGAAGGCGGCUUUCUGGUCUGUAACUGACGCUGAGGCGCGAAAGCGUGGGGAGCAAACAGGGAUUGGAUACCCUGGUAGUCCACGCCGUAAACGAUGAGUGCUAAGUGUUAGGGGGUUUCCCGCCCCUUAGUGCUGCAGCUAACGCAUUAAGCACUCCGCCUGGGGAGUACGGCCGCAAGGCUG
Molecule: ribosomal RNA, 373 nt
Filed under: uncultured organism
Description: partial 16S ribosomal RNA
Rfam family: Bacterial small subunit ribosomal RNA
Source: RNAcentral